AUGGGACAAGAAAACAACACAGCAGACGUGGAGUCGCUCCAAAAAAGUGGCCGCCGGAGUGGGAGCUGCCUGAACGCGUUUCUUAUCACGUCCAUCAUUGUUCUGUUUGCAUUGGUGGCAGCGCUGGCUGCGUUUGGAGUCAUGGCUGUGAAGAAGCUGCAGUCCAAGCUGGACGUCCCUCGGCGCGUCUCCGAGUCGGAAUUAUUUGAGAAGAUGAGCGGAGCACAACAACCUUCUGUUGCAUUUAAUAUGGAGAAGUUUGCCUACCUGGAAGCAAUGAAAAGCUCCUUGAAGAAUGGCACCAUGGAGUGGGCUGAUGUCAAGUAUGGAGUUGGAUCCUCUAUAGGAAGCAAGUUUGUCUUUGACUCGCAUCAGAUGUCCUUGAAGCCACAGCAGUCGGGGGUCUACUUCAUGUACGUUGAGGUGAAGAUCACGUGCACCUCCCGCUGCAACACAAGUGUUGUCCACCUGAACGUGAGCAACAAGCUGACCUGCGAUGUGGAGCUGCCUUCACACAAAAAAUCGGUGAGCAAGAAGUGCUGGACAGUGAGCACGUUGGAAAACGAAGGACUGAUCACCCAAAUGAGGGUGCCAGAUAAGGGAUUUCAGGACUGGAAACUGGACCUGAAGAACUCUGGACUGGGGUUGUUCCUAAUAGACUAA
RNAcentral lists this long non-coding RNA (663 nucleotides) under Nothobranchius furzeri (turquoise killifish). RNAcentral describes it as "lncRNA (ENSNFUG00015013576.1)". The record is from RNAcentral. Lineage: Eukaryota; Metazoa; Chordata; Actinopteri; Cyprinodontiformes; Nothobranchiidae.